This 275-nucleotide ribosomal RNA is filed under the name uncultured bacterium. RNAcentral describes it as "partial 16S ribosomal RNA". It matches the Rfam family "Bacterial small subunit ribosomal RNA", at positions 79 to 354 of the family's 1533-position model. The record is from RNAcentral.
CUUUCUCCGCCGGCGACCGGCGCACGGGUGAGUAACACGUAUGCAACCUGCCCCUGUCAGGGGGACAACCCGCCGAAAGGCGGGCUAAACCCGCGUACAUGCCACCGGGGCAUCCCGGAGGCAGGAAAGGCUUCGGCCGGACAGGGAUGGCAUGCGGCGCAUUAGGCAGUAGGCGGGGUAACGGCCCACCUAACCGACGAUGCGUAGGGGUUCUGAGAGGAAGGUCCCCCACACUGGUACUGAGACACGGACCAGACUCCUACGGGAGGCAGCAG